Molecule: ribosomal RNA, 301 nt
Filed under: uncultured bacterium
Lineage: Bacteria
Description: partial 16S ribosomal RNA
Rfam family: Bacterial small subunit ribosomal RNA
Source: RNAcentral
CAGCCGCCGCGGGAAUACGUAGGGUGCAAGCGUUAAUCGGAAUUACUGGGCGUAAAGCGUGCGCAGGCGGUUAUAUAAGACAGAUGUGAAAUCCCCGGGCUCAACCUGGGACCUGCAUUUGUGGCUGUAUAGCUAGAGUACGGUAGAGGGGGAUGGAAUUCCGCGUGUAGCAGUGAAAUGCGUAGAUAUGCGGAGGAACACCGAUGGCGAAGGCAAUCCCCUGGACCUGUACUGACGCUCAUGCACGAAAGCGUGAGGAGCAAACAGGAUUAGAUACCCGGGUAGUCCCUGUCUCUUAUAU